Molecule: long non-coding RNA, 2627 nt
Filed under: Mus musculus (house mouse)
Lineage: Eukaryota; Metazoa; Chordata; Mammalia; Rodentia; Muridae
Description: long non-coding RNA chr2:62235135-62237762
Source: RNAcentral
CUGCCCUGAGCACAGUGCUCUUUACGUGGCAGCAUCUCAGUGUGCAGGGAGCCUCAUCACAAUCUUCACACAACAGCAUACUUGAGCAAUAUUAUUUUCUCAUAACCCUGCUUAUUAGUUUUCUCCUUGAAUGAAUUUAAUUAUCAUUUACACUAAGAAAUUGCUUCAAAAUUUGUUAUCAUAGCUUCAUAAAGGAAAAUGAAUUUACCAUAAAGAUCAUAUGGAUAUGUUAUUCUUGUAUCAGGUAUAAAUGUUCUUCAGUUCUAAAAGAUAAAAAUUAUGACUGCCAUGUAGUUUGGUAAGUAGAAUGUUUGUCUAGUAUUCAGUAAUCCACAUUUUAUCUGCAGCACUGAGUAAAUGGGCCAUUGUGAUGCAGUCAUGCUCAUAAUCCAGGAAUUUAGGUAGAACUGCAGAAAGUUCAAGGUCAACCUCAAGUAUAUAGAAUGUUCACAAUCAGCAUAGCAAUAAGAUAUUUAUUUAAAAUAUCAAAUAAAAGGUGAAAAUAUUUUCAAAUGAUUUAUUAGAAAACCUGACUUACAGAAAUUGACCACAGUAACAUAAAUUGACAGAACAGAAUAUUUCUGUGAUUUUCUUCCCUUUUCAAAAGUUUCAGACGUACUUUACAACUAUGAGGAUAUGUUUUCUUUAGACUUGUAUUUUGAGGAUGUUUUCAUACUACUGAGUCAAAUGUUCACAAACAAAAGAAAUACACCAAUGAAUCAUUCAAUUUGUUUCAGAGUAUCUUAAGGUCACUAAGUAUAUUAAGUCUUAGGAUUUAAUGUUGAAUAGUAUUGAAUGAUAUAUUUCUAAUUGAGAAGUAGCAUUUGAAAAUUUGUUUUUUAUCUAGGUACUAGGAAAGGAGUGAACCUUUCAUUGAAAGUCCCGUGACUGGGUAGACAGAGUCCUCCCUUUUCUUACACUGGAAGGCUCAUUCCUCGGGUCCCCAGGCUGUUGCCUUUGGGUAUUCUCUAACCUUGUCUGUUGCUGCUUCGUGUUUCUAUUCUGAUAGUAUGUCUGUACGAGAAUGUAUUGUCUUCUAUUUAUUACACACUAUAAAGCCAACAAAAGCAGCUGAAAUUUUUAGUUUUAAUUUCUAAAAAUUAAAGAUACAGAAAUGAAACAUAGAUGCUGUCCUUGACUGACUAUAAAGCAUUGGUAUCACGUAGAAGCAUGUCUAUAGAUAUAUAUGCAAAGUUCGUUGAAAGUGUCACAUGCAUGCCAUGGCAUAUAACCAACUUAUAUUAGUAGAUUCUAUUUUGCAGAUACAGAAAUAACAUUAAGACAAAUACUAUAUUUAAAUUAAUUCAUAUUCAAAAUUAUAAUUUGACUUAAACAUAUACACAUUAAUGUGAAAUUGAAGAUUUUAUAAUUUGAGAUAUAAGUGUAGUGGUUUACUCUUUAAAGGGAAACUUGAAGACAAUUUUAUUAAAUUAUUAGAGAAAAACCCCUGGGUAGACAAAUGGUAAGUUCUGGCAGCUGCCUAGAUGACUAGAGAACAGAAAAAACAUCCAGUAGAAGUUAUUGAUGCUUUUAUAGUGCUACUACUUAUUUGUUGGCCAAGGUUAAGAAACCCAAUCUAGAUAUUUAAUAACUUUUAUGGGAGAUUUAAGUUUGCUUGACUCUCUUAAAAUCUUAUUAAAAUACCCCAUGUUAUAAUUUUCCAAGAAUUUUGAAAAAUUUUUGGACAAAUAAACAGUCUUCAUUUCAUUACAUUUUUGGAAAUCAGACAAUAACAUAUAGACCAAAUAUGUUUAUUAAAACAACUAAUCAUCAUGUGUGAUACAAUUUCUAUAUUUGUUACUUCAAUCUUCACUGAGAAUAAUGUUUGUAUUUGAAAUUUUAGAUACAUUUUAGGGAAAGGGAAGAAGGUGUGGAAUUUACUGACUUGACCUUGUGUUGUCAUGUGCAGACCUAUACUCACUGCCGAUGUUUGAAACUUCCAUUACAUUUAAGGAGAGAGGACAGACUUACAGCUGUGAAGCACAAGUCUACAUGCAGAUGCGCAUAGAGACAGCAUUUACAGAGAGGACUUUUGUUUUUAUCUGUGAAACAGCUUCGUUUUCCCAAAAACUAGAAUCUGAGUAAUUCUGUUGCCAUCUGUACAGUCAACCUUUAUAUGAACACAUACAAAUCUUUCCAGGGCAUGUGUUAGGGUAAUAGAAACUUGGAAGCACUUAUAAUAAGAUUCAUAUAUCCAAUUAAGUAUUGUUGUGCAGCAUCCUGUCAGCGGUAGUUUCUAAGCCUAGGCUUCUAACACCUCCUCAUGACUCUGUUUUGCUUCCUCACACACUUUACAUAAUUAUGUGUUCUGAGAAGUCUGGAAAUAUGUAUAGACUUCAACAAUUUAGAAGUAAGUCUCCUACCCACAAGUGUGAAAGACCUCUACUACUAAGGUUCUCAAUCUACUUAUGGACUCUAUAAACUGACAAACUUGAGAUAAACAAAGAAAUUGGAACUCAAAGCAUAAAUGUAGAAUUGGCACUCUGUUUUAAAACAUGGAUUAGAGACUUAAUUUUUAUGGUGCAAUAGUAAAAGGGGAUGCAAUGGAAUCUUACCAUCCAAAAGCCUAAAUGUAAUAUCCAAUAUCCUUUUUAUUUUAAAAACACCCUUGAGCAAACCAUUUUACU